RNAcentral lists this ribosomal RNA (2904 nucleotides) under Escherichia coli. RNAcentral describes it as "23S ribosomal RNA". It matches the Rfam family "Bacterial large subunit ribosomal RNA". The record is from RNAcentral. Lineage: Bacteria; Pseudomonadati; Pseudomonadota; Gammaproteobacteria; Enterobacterales; Enterobacteriaceae.
GGUUAAGCGACUAAGCGUACACGGUGGAUGCCCUGGCAGUCAGAGGCGAUGAAGGACGUGCUAAUCUGCGAUAAGCGUCGGUAAGGUGAUAUGAACCGUUAUAACCGGCGAUUUCCGAAUGGGGAAACCCAGUGUGUUUCGACACACUAUCAUUAACUGAAUCCAUAGGUUAAUGAGGCGAACCGGGGGAACUGAAACAUCUAAGUACCCCGAGGAAAAGAAAUCAACCGAGAUUCCCCCAGUAGCGGCGAGCGAACGGGGAGGAGCCCAGAGCCUGAAUCAGUAUGUGUGUUAGUGGAAGCGUCUGGAAAGGCGCGCGAUACAGGGUGACAGCCCCGUACACAAAAAUGCACAUACUGUGAGCUCGAUGAGUAGGGCGGGACACGUGGUAUCCUGUCUGAAUAUGGGGGGACCAUCCUCCAAGGCUAAAUACUCCUGACUGACCGAUAGUGAACCAGUACCGUGAGGGAAAGGCGAAAAGAACCCCGGCGAGGGGAGUGAAAAAGAACCUGAAACCGUGUACGUACAAGCAGUGGGAGCACGCUUAGGCGUGUGACUGCGUACCUUUUGUAUAAUGGGUCAGCGACUUAUAUUCUGUAGCAAGGUUAACCGAAUAGGGGAGCCGAAGGGAAACCGAGUCUUAACUGGGCGUUAAGUUGCAGGGUAUAGACCCGAAACCCGGUGAUCUAGCCAUGGGCAGGUUGAAGGUUGGGUAACACUAACUGGAGGACCGAACCGACUAAUGUUGAAAAAUUAGCGGAUGACUUGUGGCUGGGGGUGAAAGGCCAAUCAAACCGGGAGAUAGCUGGUUCUCCCCGAAAGCUAUUUAGGUAGCGCCUCGUGAAUUCAUCUCCGGGGGUAGAGCACUGUUUCGGCAAGGGGGUCAUCCCGACUUACCAACCCGAUGCAAACUGCGAAUACCGGAGAAUGUUAUCACGGGAGACACACGGCGGGUGCUAACGUCCGUCGUGAAGAGGGAAACAACCCAGACCGCCAGCUAAGGUCCCAAAGUCAUGGUUAAGUGGGAAACGAUGUGGGAAGGCCCAGACAGCCAGGAUGUUGGCUUAGAAGCAGCCAUCAUUUAAAGAAAGCGUAAUAGCUCACUGGUCGAGUCGGCCUGCGCGGAAGAUGUAACGGGGCUAAACCAUGCACCGAAGCUGCGGCAGCGACGCUUAUGCGUUGUUGGGUAGGGGAGCGUUCUGUAAGCCUGUGAAGGUGUGCUGUGAGGCAUGCUGGAGGUAUCAGAAGUGCGAAUGCUGACAUAAGUAACGAUAAAGCGGGUGAAAAGCCCGCUCGCCGGAAGACCAAGGGUUCCUGUCCAACGUUAAUCGGGGCAGGGUGAGUCGACCCCUAAGGCGAGGCCGAAAGGCGUAGUCGAUGGGAAACAGGUUAAUAUUCCUGUACUUGGUGUUACUGCGAAGGGGGGACGGAGAAGGCUAUGUUGGCCGGGCGACGGUUGUCCCGGUUUAAGCGUGUAGGCUGGUUUUCCAGGCAAAUCCGGAAAAUCAAGGCUGAGGCGUGAUGACGAGGCACUACGGUGCUGAAGCAACAAAUGCCCUGCUUCCAGGAAAAGCCUCUAAGCAUCAGGUAACAUCAAAUCGUACCCCAAACCGACACAGGUGGUCAGGUAGAGAAUACCAAGGCGCUUGAGAGAACUCGGGUGAAGGAACUAGGCAAAAUGGUGCCGUAACUUCGGGAGAAGGCACGCUGAUACGUAGGUGAAGCGACUUGCUCGUGGAGCUGAAAUCAGUCGAAGAUACCAGCUGGCUGCAACUGUUUAUUAAAAACACAGCACUGUGCAAACACGAAAGUGGACGUAUACGGUGUGACGCCUGCCCGGUGCCGGAAGGUUAAUUGAUGGGGUCAGCGCAAGCGAAGCUCUUGAUCGAAGCCCCGGUAAACGGCGGCCGUAACUAUAACGGUCCUAAGGUAGCGAAAUUCCUUGUCGGGUAAGUUCCGACCUGCACGAAUGGCGUAAUGAUGGCCAGGCUGUCUCCACCCGAGACUCAGUGAAAUUGAACUCGCUGUGAAGAUGCAGUGUACCCGCGGCAAGACGGAAAGACCCCGUGAACCUUUACUAUAGCUUGACACUGAACAUUGAGCCUUGAUGUGUAGGAUAGGUGGGAGGCUUUGAAGUGUGGACGCCAGUCUGCAUGGAGCCGACCUUGAAAUACCACCCUUUAAUGUUUGAUGUUCUAACGUGGACCCGUAAUCCGGGUUGCGGACAGUGUCUGGUGGGUAGUUUGACUGGGGCGGUCUCCUCCUAAAGAGUAACGGAGGAGCACGAAGGUUGGCUAAUCCUGGUCGGACAUCAGGAGGUUAGUGCAAUGGCAUAAGCCAGCUUGACUGCGAGCGUGACGGCGCGAGCAGGUGCGAAAGCAGGUCAUAGUGAUCCGGUGGUUCUGAAUGGAAGGGCCAUCGCUCAACGGAUAAAAGGUACUCCGGGGAUAACAGGCUGAUACCGCCCAAGAGUUCAUAUCGACGGCGGUGUUUGGCACCUCGAUGUCGGCUCAUCACAUCCUGGGGCUGAAGUAGGUCCCAAGGGUAUGGCUGUUCGCCAUUUAAAGUGGUACGCGAGCUGGGUUUAGAACGUCGUGAGACAGUUCGGUCCCUAUCUGCCGUGGGCGCUGGAGAACUGAGGGGGGCUGCUCCUAGUACGAGAGGACCGGAGUGGACGCAUCACUGGUGUUCGGGUUGUCAUGCCAAUGGCACUGCCCGGUAGCUAAAUGCGGAAGAGAUAAGUGCUGAAAGCAUCUAAGCACGAAACUUGCCCCGAGAUGAGUUCUCCCUGACUCCUUGAGAGUCCUGAAGGAACGUUGAAGACGACGACGUUGAUAGGCCGGGUGUGUAAGCGCAGCGAUGCGUUGAGCUAACCGGUACUAAUGAACCGUGAGGCUUAACCUU